This 884-nucleotide long non-coding RNA is filed under the name Capra hircus (goat). RNAcentral describes it as "lncRNA (ENSCHIG00000001015.1)". The record is from RNAcentral. Lineage: Eukaryota; Metazoa; Chordata; Mammalia; Artiodactyla; Bovidae.
AACCACUACUGUAGGGAAAGAAUAGAAUUGGUGAUAGUUCCCGAACCUUUGAUUUAAGGAGUUGGGUGCAUGGUGCUGUCGUUUGCUAUAAGGGAAUUUUUGCCUCUUUUGUUCACUGCAGUGUCCCACCACCUAGAACCAUGCUUGAACAUAUCCAAGGCAGGCUGUGAGGAAUCCACUAAUCCAGCCCAGUAAGUGGACAGUGCAUGUGGCGGUGCCAGCCCGAACAAGAAGACAGGCGCUCCUGCAUCUUAAGGACAUCCCUGCACCCUCCCGCCUUCCAGUGUUCAAGCACUGUAGCUCUUCCCAUCAAUGCUGCUCAGAUAAUAAAGAAUCUGCCCGCAAUGCAGGAGACCCAGGUUCAAUCCCUGGAUUGGGAAGAUCCCUGGAGAAGAGAAUGGCAAUGCACUCCUGUAUUUACCUGGAGAGUUCCAUGGACAGAGGAGCCUGAUGGGCUGCAGUCCAUGGGGUCUCACAGAGUCGGACAUGACCAAGUAAUUAACACCUUCAACAAAGCUGCGAACAAGGUGCUGGUGACAGACUGAAACAGUGAACUGGACUAGAGUGCUGGCACAGCAUGUGGCCUCAGGAGAGUUCUGUUAACCUCCGUGCUUCUGUGUUCUUGUCUCUUGGGGACCUUAUAACAUUGUUGAAACUGGGGCCAUUUUGAAGAUUAUAAACAUAUAUAUAUUUCAUUUAGAGUGGAACCUAGGUUAAUUUCUACUACUUUAUGUUUCUUUGUUCAAUGUCUUUUGAGUACUUUCCCUGUGUCAAGCACAGUUCCGGGUGAAAAAGACAGUUAUGAACAGGAGAUAGAGUCCUGCUUUUACACAGUUGGCAUUCAUUUAAUGGGAGACAGAACAUAAUCAAAAUAUAAAUGGAAG